This 449-nucleotide ribosomal RNA is filed under the name uncultured bacterium. Its description in RNAcentral is "bacterial SSU rRNA". It matches the Rfam family "Bacterial small subunit ribosomal RNA", at positions 329 to 795 of the family's 1533-position model. The record is from RNAcentral.
UGCCAGACUCCUACGGGAGGCAGCAGUGGGGGAUAUUGCACAAUGGGGGGAACCCUGAUGCAGCGACGCCGCGUGGGUGAAGAAGCGCCUCGGCGCGUAAAGCCCUGUCAGCAGGGAAGAAAAUGACGGUACCUGAAGAAGAAGCCCCGGCUAACUACGUGCCAGCAGCCGCGGUAAUACGUAGGGGGCAAGCGUUAUCCGGAUUUACUGGGUGUAAAGGGGGCGCAGACGGCGAUGCAAGCCAGGAGUGAAAGCCCGGGGCCCAACCCCGGGACUGCUCUUGGAACUGCGUGGCCGGAGUGCAGGAGGGGCAGGCGGAAUUCCUGGUGUAGCGGUGAAAUGCGUAGAUAUCAGGAGGAACACCGGUGGCGAAGGCGGCCUGCUGGACUGCAACUGACGUUGAGGCCCGAAAGCGUGGGGAGCAAACAGGAUUAGAUACCCUGGUAAUG